Molecule: long non-coding RNA, 413 nt
Organism: Dermacentor silvarum
Lineage: Eukaryota; Metazoa; Arthropoda; Arachnida; Ixodida; Ixodidae
Exons: 4
Source: RefSeq, a predicted model, not a curated record
UACACAAACUUCUCAAGCCGCCAGCAUCGUCACAACGUCUUUGCACAAUAUUUCAUGUUGUAUCUAAGGGCAGCAGUGAAAACUGCAAGAACAGGAAAGUUAGCAUGCCAUGAGUUAAAUAACAUCUGACGAAGAAUUAGUCAAUCGACUUGGUGAUAUCUCCAGUCAUGUCCAGGAGGUUAUGGCACAGCGUUAUUUUCGUCUCCUUCUUGUGCCUCCUGUUCAUUCCAACGAUUGAAUCGUUGGGGUCCACAAAGAUGGUAAAAUUGUUGCUGAGCCGGAAGAAGAGUCUCCUUCUGGGCAUGAUGCCAGACGACCCUUACAAAAAUAUGCCAUACAGGUGCUUCAACUCCACCUUCGUUGGGAUCGAUGGUGACUGGAUAUACCGGGAUGUUUUCUACAGAAAGAAGGAA